GAUACCAAUUCAUUUUAUUGCUCUUGGUCCGUUUGAGGUCUCCAAAUUUCAAGAUUUCAAUAGACAGCAGCCGUGAAAGCAUGGCAACAAGCAGCGGAGAAAGUCGGCGCCGGAAAAUCCUCGAAAGAGGAUCCGAUCGCUUGGCUUUUAUUAAGGGUCAUCUCCAAAACCUCCCUCCUCAUCCUCCUCACUCUGAAAACCAAAUCGACAUCAGCCCUCCUCCGCUUCCGUCGGCCCCCCUCCACCCGACUUCCCAAGUCAAAUCGCCGUUUCUCCCGAUGUCCAUGAUGAAGCCUCUACUUCUGUGAUGCUAAAACAUAAUCCUGUUCUGAUGCUAAUCAGAGUCAGCCCAGUACUUAUAAUGGAAUUGGUGAAGGAUCAACAUCCCACAGACGGGAUAGAAACAUCGGGCCUUCAAAUGAUUCUGCGUUGAAUACAAGCUGUCAAGCGAAUUCAGUGCCGGUUCUAUCAGAUGAUCAAAUUUCAUCGAUUUCCACAUCAAGGACAGUACAUCGUUCAGAAACACCAACUCGAAAACAUAAUUUUUCACCCUAAGCAAAUAAGUUCUGCAAUUGAUGCAUCUGGACAAGCACGCCUCUUAUGUUCAGUGAUCGUGGCCGUCUCAGUUGUUCUGGUACGUUUGGGGUUUCCUCUUCUAGGAAACAGAUUCCUAGGGGGCAUUAUCAGCUUCAGGCCAGUUUACUUCAUUCUGUUGA
This is an RNA transcript of Hibiscus syriacus, 716 nucleotides long. RefSeq lists it as uncharacterized. Lineage: Eukaryota; Viridiplantae; Streptophyta; Magnoliopsida; Malvales; Malvaceae. The transcript has 3 exons. The record is from RefSeq and is a predicted model, not a curated record.